RNAcentral lists this ribosomal RNA (640 nucleotides) under Cercomonas lenta. Its description in RNAcentral is "eukaryotic LSU rRNA". The stretch from base 348 to 640 matches the Rfam family "Eukaryotic large subunit ribosomal RNA", at positions 1 to 286 of the family's 3401-position model. The record is from RNAcentral. Lineage: Eukaryota; Cercozoa; Cercomonadida; Cercomonadidae.
GCACUUCUUGGAUAGGCCAGGAAGUAUGCCUCUUUGAGCAUCGUUUUCACCCCAGCUCGACGGCUUCUUUUCGAAGAAGUGUCAGUCGGAGAAUGAGUCGCCUCAUUUCGAAAGGAAUGAGUCACUUUAAAUGGUUGGAGGAACGAUCAAAUCUCUACCAAUUGCGCUGAUUACUACUUGUAGUGAUUGGGCUAUUGUGCGAUGGACUAAUCGCUAGUAGACGUGGAUAAUUUUUAUCAUACGCUUACUUGCUUGAUUGGACUGUUACAUAAUGGUACUGCGAUUGUGUAUGUUUGAUCACUUAAAUCUCCAAUGUGGAAAUUGAUAAACUAAUUAUUUUUUGAAUUAGAUCUCAAAUGAAGCAAGACUACCCGCUGAACUUAAGCAUAUUAUUAAGCGGAGGAAAAGAAACUAACAAGGAUGCCCUCAGUAACGGCGAGUGAAGCGGGCGAAGCUCAACCUGAAAAUCGGAUACCCAAGCGGGUGUUCGAAUUGUGGGCUAGAGAUGCGUGAUCAGUGUGUGACUCAGGUAUAAAUCUUUUGAAACAAGGUAUCAUAGAGGGUGAGAAUCCCGUCUUUGACCUGAAGAUUCGCCACGUACGAUCCGUAGUCAUAGAGUCGAGUUGUUUGGGAUUGCAGC